RNAcentral lists this ribosomal RNA (326 nucleotides) under uncultured eukaryote. Its description in RNAcentral is "partial 18S ribosomal RNA". It matches the Rfam family "Eukaryotic small subunit ribosomal RNA", at positions 1470 to 1796 of the family's 1831-position model. The record is from RNAcentral.
CCCUUAGAUGUUCUGGGCCGCACGCGCGCUACACUGAAGGGAUCAGCGUGUUUUCCCUUCCCGAGAGGGACGGGUAACCCGCUGAACCCCCUUCGUGGUAGGGAUCGGAGCUUGUAAUUGUUCUCCGUGAACCAGGAAUUCCCAGUAAGCGCAAGUCAUAAGCUUGCGUUGAUUACGUCCCUGCCCUUUGUACACACCGCCCGUCGCUACUACCGAUUGAACGUUUUAGUGAGGUAUUUGGACUGGGCCUUGGGAGGUUUCGGCCUCCCUUGUUGCUCGGAAAGACUCCCAAACUUGAGCGUUUAGAGGAAGUAAAAGUCGUAACA